This 695-nucleotide ribosomal RNA is filed under the name uncultured bacterium. Its description in RNAcentral is "bacterial SSU rRNA". It matches the Rfam family "Bacterial small subunit ribosomal RNA", at positions 790 to 1482 of the family's 1533-position model. The record is from RNAcentral.
GUAGUCCACACUGUAAACGAUGAAUGCUAGGUGUAGGGGGUAUCGACCCGCUCUGUGCCGGAGUAAACACAAUAAGCAUUCCGCUCGGCGAGUACGGUCGCAAGGUUGAAACUCAAAGGAAUUGACGGGGGCCCGCACAAGCAGCGGAGCAUGUGGUUUAAUUUGAAGCAACGCGAAGAACCUUACCAGGUCUUGACAUCCAAUAAAACUUGUAGAGAUACAAGGUGGACUUUGGUUUGUAUUGAGACAGGUGGCGCAUGGUUGUUGUCAGUUCGUGUCGUGAGAUGUUGGGUUAAGUCCCGCAACGAGCGCAACCCUUGUGAUCAGUUACUAGCGGGUAAAGCCGAGGACUCUGAUAAGACUGCCGGGGACAAAUCGGAGGAAGGUGGGGACGACGUCAAAUCAUCAUGCCCCUUAUGACUUGGGCUACACACGUGCUACAAUGGCCAAUACAGAGAGAAGCGAGACCGAGAGGUGGAGCAGAUCUCAAAAAAGUGGUCCCAGUUCGGAUUGUGGGCUGCAACCCGCCCACAUGAAGUCGGAGUUGCUAGUAAUCGCGGAUCAGCAUGCCGCGGUGAAUACGUUCCCGGGCCUUGUACACACCGCCCGUCACACCAUGGGAGUUGGGAGUGCCCAAAGCCGGCGAGGUAACCGCAAGGAGCCAGCAGUCUAAGGCAAGACCAAUGAUUGGGGUG